This 724-nucleotide long non-coding RNA is filed under the name Marmota monax (woodchuck). The record is from RNAcentral. Lineage: Eukaryota; Metazoa; Chordata; Mammalia; Rodentia; Sciuridae.
GGACAGCCAGUGUGGUCCCGGGAAGGGGCUUGUCGGGGUGCCGGGAGGGCCUGCGUCUGGGCUCCAGGGCACGGUGGCCUUCCUGCCCUCUUCCGGUCGCAGAGGCCACAGGGCAGCGCGUCACAUCCAGCCUUGACUCUUGCCUCCCUCUUGAGCCCAGCUGGAGGAUCCAGGGCCAUCUCCCUACGUGAGGCCAGCUGAGGAGGACAGGGGUCCCGUCUGUACCCUUGGUGCCCCUGACCACGUCACGUGACACGUGCAGGUCACAGGGCUUAGGAUGUGGUCGGUGCUGGUGGAGGGGACAGUACCUGCCUGUCACAGGACAGCAGCACUUUACCCUGUGGCAGGAGGAGGGGCAGAUGGGACCCACUGUGCCUGAGCCCGUCCCGGUGGCUGCUGCUGUCCGGCUGCUGGCACGGACUUGGUUAUGGACAGGGCAGCGGAGCCGCGGCCCUGGGACCCCGCGUGCUUCUAGGUUCCCCACCAGCUCCUCAGAACCUUGCUCAGCUGAGCCCUGUCCUCUCCUCCGUGCCUCCUCCUGGUGCCGGUGUCACCAUGGCCCCGCACAGAGCCUGCGCCCUGUGACCUGGACAUUCUUGCCUGGACUCAAACCAGCCUCGGCCCCCGACCCCCACCCCCACCCGCAGGGAGAAACUGAGGCCAGACUGCAGCUGGGCUCCUCCCGGCUUCCACGGGUGCCCCAGGGCUCAGGCGCUGUCCCCUG